Molecule: long non-coding RNA, 246 nt
Filed under: Prunus dulcis (almond)
Lineage: Eukaryota; Viridiplantae; Streptophyta; Magnoliopsida; Rosales; Rosaceae
Description: sRNA ncRNA
Source: RNAcentral
AUGCCCUUCAAGGUCUUGCAAGACUGUCAACUGCAACCAACAAGAACAAUGAGGAUCAUAACUUUCGUAAUCUCGUUCAAUUGUAUGGAUAUCAAAACCAUUAAGAUCAGACUUUUGGGAAGUAAUACUAGACAGGAAAAGUACACUUGCUACAGGCAUAAUUGGCAGGUCACCAGCAGCAAGCCAGCAAGCAAUACUAAUGGAAAUAGUUCUCACAAUUUUUCAAUUGCUAACACAGGAUUGUGA